This 253-nucleotide ribosomal RNA is filed under the name uncultured bacterium. RNAcentral's name for it is "partial 16S ribosomal RNA". It matches the Rfam family "Bacterial small subunit ribosomal RNA", at positions 524 to 776 of the family's 1533-position model. The record is from RNAcentral.
UACAGAGGGUGCGAGCGUUAAUCGGAAUUACUGGGCGUAAAGGGCGCGUAGGCGGUUUAUCAAGUGAGAUGUGAAAUCCCCGGGCUUAACCUAGGAACUGCAUCUUAAACUGAUAGGCUGGAGUACUGUAGAGGAUAGUGGAAUUUCCGGUGUAGCGGUGAAAUGCGUAGAGAUCGGAAGGAACAUCAGUGGCGAAGGCGACUGUCUGGACAGAUACUGACGCUGAGGCGCGAAAGCGUGGGGAGCAAACAGG